GCCGGGCCUGGUGGUGCACACCUGUAAUCCCAGCAACUCGGGAGGCUGAGGCAGGAGGAUGGCGAAUUCAAAGCCACCCUCAGCAAUGGCAAGGUGCUUAGCAACUCAGUGAGACCCUGUCUCUA
This 125-nucleotide small RNA is filed under the name Marmota monax (woodchuck). Lineage: Eukaryota; Metazoa; Chordata; Mammalia; Rodentia; Sciuridae. The record is from RNAcentral.